AGUCGCACGCUUCUUUUUCCCCGGAGCUUGCUCCACCGGAAAAAGAGGAGUGGCGAACGGGUGAGUAACACGUGGGUAACCUGCCCAUCAGAAGGGGAUAACACUUGGAAACAGGUGCUAAUACCGUAUAACAAUCGAAACCGCAUGGUUUUGAUUUGAAAGGCGCUUUCGGGUGUCGCUGAUGGAUGGACCCGCGGUGCAUUAGCUAGUUGGUGAGGUAACGGCUCACCAAGGCCACGAUGCAUAGCCGACCUGAGAGGGUGAUCGGCCACAUUGGGACUGAGACACGGCCCAAACUCCUACGGGAGGCAGCAGUAGGGAAUCUUCGGCAAUGGACGAAAGUCUGACCGAGCAACGCCGCGUGAGUGAAGAAGGUUUUCGGAUCGUAAAACUCUGUUGUUAGAGAAGAACAAGGAUGAGAGUAACUGUUCAUCCCUUGACGGUAUCUAACCAGAAAGCCACGGCUAACUACGUGCCAGCAGCCGCGGUAAUACGUAGGUGGCAAGCGUUGUCCGGAUUUAUUGGGCGUAAAGCGAGCGCAGGCGGUUUCUUAAGUCUGAUGUGAAAGCCCCCGGCUCAACCGGGGAGGGUCAUUGGAAACUGGGAGACUUGAGUGCAGAAGAGGAGAGUGGAAUUCCAUGUGUAGCGGUGAAAUGCGUAGAUAUAUGGAGGAACACCAGUGGCGAAGGCGGCUCUCUGGUCUGUAACUGACGCUG
RNAcentral lists this ribosomal RNA (716 nucleotides) under uncultured bacterium. Its description in RNAcentral is "bacterial SSU rRNA". It matches the Rfam family "Bacterial small subunit ribosomal RNA", at positions 60 to 748 of the family's 1533-position model. The record is from RNAcentral.